AGGACGAACGCUGGCGGCGUGCUUAACACAUGCAAGUCGAACGGUUUAUAAAGGGGCUUGCCCCUUAGUAGAUAGUGGCGAACGGGUGCGUAACACGUGAGCAACCUGCCCCCAAAGUUUGGAAUAACGACCGGGAAACCGAUGACUAAUACCAAAUAUGCUCACACCUAGUACACGAAGAUAGAGUGAGGAAAGUUUUUCGCUUUGGGAGGGGCUCGCGGCCCUAUCAGCUUGGUUAGGUGAGGUAACGGCUCACCAA
RNAcentral lists this ribosomal RNA (259 nucleotides) under uncultured prokaryote. RNAcentral's name for it is "partial 16S ribosomal RNA". It matches the Rfam family "Bacterial small subunit ribosomal RNA", at positions 26 to 271 of the family's 1533-position model. The record is from RNAcentral.